This is a long non-coding RNA of Myripristis murdjan (pinecone soldierfish), 211 nucleotides long. RefSeq lists it as uncharacterized. The record is from RefSeq and is a predicted model, not a curated record. The transcript is spliced from 3 exons. NCBI's taxonomy places the organism in Eukaryota, Metazoa, Chordata, Actinopteri, Holocentriformes, Holocentridae.
CGAAAAAAAGAGAUGAUGCUCGCGCGUCACUUGCAGGGUCAGUGCUUAGAUACGUGCAAGGGGGAACUCAAGGCCAAGAUGGCGUACAUGCCACAAAACAACCACAAGAGCCCGGCAAACGGUGGUUGCUGGCAUGAUGAACGGCUCAAACCAGCAGAUGAUUUCCUCCACAAUCACCUAUGAAGGUGAGACACUGGGGAGGCCACUGUCU